This is a small nuclear RNA of Cynocephalus volans (Philippine flying lemur), 102 nucleotides long. The record is from RefSeq and is a predicted model, not a curated record. NCBI's taxonomy places the organism in Eukaryota, Metazoa, Chordata, Mammalia, Dermoptera, Cynocephalidae.
GUGCUUUGGCAGCACACUACUAAAAUUGAAGUGGCACAGAGAAGAUUAGCAUGGUCCCUAUGCAAGGAUGACCAGCAAGUUGGUGAAGUGUUUCAUUAUUUU